AUGGAGGGGUUCCGUGGCCACAACGGAGAAGAUGACUUCGGCCCAAUCGUCAAUGCCUCUAGUCAGAGACAAGGAACCAAAGGCGGAGAAGAGGACAGGGAUGUGGUGCCGACGGCGUGGUGGCGUAGAUCCGGCGUUGGUGUCGAGAUCGACGGGGCGGUGAUGAUUCCAACUCUGGCGGUCGUCGAGAAGGAGCACGUUGGCAACCCUCCAGACCACAGGGAGGCUUUUGGUGCCAAGCUGGCGGCACUCGUAUUGUAAUCCCGUGCGU
RNAcentral lists this long non-coding RNA (271 nucleotides) under Oryza sativa Indica Group (long-grained rice). Its description in RNAcentral is "lncRNA OsZS97_09G001940". The record is from RNAcentral. Lineage: Eukaryota; Viridiplantae; Streptophyta; Magnoliopsida; Poales; Poaceae.